CAGUCGCCACGGGAAAACGAAGGGGGCUAGCGUUGCUCGGAAUGACUGGGCGUAAAGGGCGCGUAGGCGGAUUGUUUAGUUAGGCGUGAAAUUCCUGGGCUCAACCUGGGGGCUGCGUUUGAUACUUGAUUGCUAGAGUGGGGAAGAGGGUCGUGGAAUUCCCAGUGUAGAGGUGAAAUUCGUAGAUAUUCGGAAGAACACCAGUGGCGAAGGCGGCUCACUGGCUCAUUCUAGACGCUGAGGUGCGAAAGCGUGGGGAGCAAACAGGAUUAGAUACCCCUGUAGUCCCUGUCUCUUAUAC
RNAcentral lists this ribosomal RNA (301 nucleotides) under uncultured bacterium. Its description in RNAcentral is "partial 16S ribosomal RNA". It matches the Rfam family "Bacterial small subunit ribosomal RNA", at positions 509 to 807 of the family's 1533-position model. The record is from RNAcentral.